GACGUAGGGUGCGAACGUUAAUCGGAAUCACUGGGCAUAAAGCGCACGUAGGCGGUGUGCUAAGACGGGUGUGAAAGCCCCGGGCUUAACCGAGGAACUGCAUUCGAGACUGGGGGGCUAGAGGAUGGCUGAGGUGAGUGGAACUCCCGGUGUAGCAGUGAAAUGCGUAGAUAUCUGGAGGAACACCGGUGGCGAAGGCGACUCACUGGACCAUUACUGACGCUGAUGUGAGAAAGCUAGGGGAGCAAACAGG
RNAcentral lists this ribosomal RNA (253 nucleotides) under uncultured bacterium. RNAcentral describes it as "partial 16S ribosomal RNA". It matches the Rfam family "Bacterial small subunit ribosomal RNA", at positions 524 to 776 of the family's 1533-position model. The record is from RNAcentral.